UGCCGGUGUGGCGGAAUGGUAGACGCGGUAGACUCAAAAUCUACUCUUAGCAAUAAGGUGUUGGUUCGAGUCCAAUCGCCGGCAU
RNAcentral lists this transfer RNA (85 nucleotides) under Chlamydia abortus. Its description in RNAcentral is "tRNA-Leu(caa)". It matches the Rfam family "tRNA". From Rfam's summary of the family: Transfer RNA (tRNA) molecules are approximately 80 nucleotides in length. Their secondary structure includes four short double-helical elements and three loops (D, anti-codon, and T loops). Lineage: Bacteria; Pseudomonadati; Chlamydiota; Chlamydiia; Chlamydiales; Chlamydiaceae. The record is from RNAcentral. RNAcentral also lists the same sequence under 1 other name.